Molecule: ribosomal RNA, 301 nt
Filed under: uncultured bacterium
Lineage: Bacteria
Description: partial 16S ribosomal RNA
Rfam family: Bacterial small subunit ribosomal RNA
Source: RNAcentral
CAGUCGCCGCGGUAAUCCGGAGGGGGCUAGCGUUGUUCGGAAUUACUGGGCGUAAAGCGUGCGUAGGCGGUGAGUUAAGUCUGCUGUGAAAUCCCCGGGCUCAACCUGGGAAUGGCAGUGGAUACUGGCUCGCUAGAGUGUGUCAGAGGAUGGUGGAAUUCCCGGUGUAGCGGUGAAAUGCGUAGAGAUCGGGAGGAACAUCAGUGGCGAAGGCGGCCAUCUGGGACAACACUGACGCUGAGGCACGAAAGCGUGGGGAGCAAACAGGAUUAGAUACCCGCGUAGUCCCUGUCUCUUAUAC